GAUCCUUCUUUGAUGAAUCUUUCUCAUCCAAACCUAGCAUCUUCUGAAUAGGGUUUCUCGAUAGACGGAGGCUUUCAUCACCAUCUGUCUCCUCCUGACUGCACCACUGAACUCCAGGCCAUCUUUGGCACAGCAGGAAGAGUUGUAAAGUCAGGUAAUUAGCAGACAGAAAGAGUUGAAAUCCCUUUGGUGCGGUUUUCAUUAGAAAUGACUCAUCCAGUC
Long non-coding RNA from Lagopus leucura (white-tailed ptarmigan), 222 nucleotides. RefSeq lists it as uncharacterized. Lineage: Eukaryota; Metazoa; Chordata; Aves; Galliformes; Phasianidae. The transcript is spliced from 3 exons. The record is from RefSeq and is a predicted model, not a curated record.